GGCUUUAUAGUCAAUGUAAUGAUGUAAGAUUGCAAGUCUUGAGUAGUAUUUUUACUAAAGCUU
RNAcentral lists this transfer RNA (63 nucleotides) under Pylorgus porrectus. Its description in RNAcentral is "tRNA-Cys". Lineage: Eukaryota; Metazoa; Arthropoda; Insecta; Hemiptera; Lygaeidae. The record is from RNAcentral.